UGGAGAAACAGGAGAUGACAUACUUCUGUGAACUUCUCCCGAAUCAGUCUAAUUAAUGAGAAAAAAAAAUGUCGAUUCAUAGUUUAUCAAUAAUGGGACUACUUCAGUGAACUGUGUUGACUUUGAUAUACAUGGUCCAUUUUCACCUCCAGAUAAAGCAGAAGAUAGCUCAGGUGAUCACCACAGAACCAUACCUGUGACACAUACAGCAGCGAUGCUGAGGCCAUGGAAAGACCAGCAGUGAUCUUAUUGAAUGGUGGAGCAGGCUCGAGGGGCCACAUGGCCGCCUCCUGAUCCUGGUUCUUAUGUUCUAACAGUAAGUCUGCCUCAUACCUGAUGAUGACCAGGUUCUUAACUGCAAUGGAAAGAAAGCUUCAUUCUGACCUGCCUAAUUUUUAUUUCAUCAUCACAUUCAGUUUUUAACAUAUGCCUCAGCCUCUCCAAACCAUAUCUCCUCAAACUUCACCUCACUUGACCUGAUAGUGAAGGGGAUAAAGGAUCAGACAGAACAAGGCCUUCUGUUUUCCUUUAUGUCCUGAGGUCCAUUUGUUCCAGUCACAGAUGUUCCUCAGCCUGUGCACUGACAGCAGAUUUGGGCAGAAGACGGGAAUGUUGUCCAUGUCUAGGGAGGUUUUGAUCUACCUCCACUAUUGAAGAUAAUCACCCCUCCAAGUGCAGAACAACAAACCAGCUCGACGAGCCAACCAACCUCAACACCCACAACCCGAGCUACAGAUCUACUCCAAAACCUUAGGAUAUUUUUGGAAGUAAAAUGAUUGACACGGGAUAUCCACUAGUCUGCAGAAAUAGCUAUAAAAAAAAACAACUUGGGUUGGAAGUCUUCAGUCUCUUUUGGACAAGAAAGAACUUCUUAAAUUGGAAGAAUAUUGACUCCAGUGUAAUGCUUUGCCAGCACAACAAGACUCAGAGCAGAGGAAACUGCUCCCACAAGGAUCUGCUCCAGCCAUCUGUCUCAUCUGGGAACAAGAUGCUGCCAGACCUGCUGAGCUUUUUGUGUCUCUUAGAUACUGGCUGUGAGACAAUGUGGACACUGGAACUAAUGAUGGGUCAACAACAUAAACAGUAGAAAUCACAACUCCUGCUCUCUUCAAAUGCCUCUACUCUUAUUGCCUCUAUUACAUAAGAAUAAUCAUUGACUUAGGAUAUUGUGUGGCUCCCAAACAGAAACCAUUACUUAUGCAAAUGGAAUCAAUAGGAAUACUGUUUCCACCUUGAUUGAAGAAGCUCUGUACCUUGUUAUUUUGGAUAAUGUACAGGCAUGAAAGAAUUAUUGGGUGGUUCUGCAAUCAUAUAGUUGAAGGCAACAAAAACACUGUAACCCCAUAGCCCUGUUUCUUUAAAUUGCUCUCCAAUCAAACAUGG
Long non-coding RNA from Rhincodon typus (whale shark), 1383 nucleotides. RefSeq lists it as uncharacterized. The record is from RefSeq and is a predicted model, not a curated record. The transcript has 3 exons. Lineage: Eukaryota; Metazoa; Chordata; Chondrichthyes; Orectolobiformes; Rhincodontidae.